AUUGAACGCUGGCGGCAGGCCUAACACAUGCAAGUCGAACGGUAACAGGAAGCAGCUUGCUGCUUCGCUGACGAGUGGCGGACGGGUGAGUAAUGUCUGGGAAGCUGCCUGAUGGAGGGGGAUAACUACUGGAAACGGUAGCUAAUACCGCAUAAUGUCGCAAGACCAAAGAGGGGGACCUUCGGGCCUCUUGCCAUCGGAUGGGCCCAGAUGGGAUUCGCUUGUUGGUGGGGUAACGGCUCACCAAGGCGACGAUCCCUAGCUGGUCUGAGAGGAUGACCAGCCACACUGGGACUGAGACACGGUCCAGACUCCUACGGGAGGCAGCAGUGGGGAAUAUUGCACAAUGGGCGCAAGCCUGAUGCAGCCAUGCCGCGUGUAUGAAGAAGGCCUUCGGGUUGUAAAGUACUUUCAGCGGGGAGGAAGGGAGUAAAGUUAAUACCUUUGCUCAUUGACGUUACCCGCAGAAGAAGCACCGGCUAACUCCGUG
RNAcentral lists this ribosomal RNA (490 nucleotides) under uncultured bacterium. RNAcentral's name for it is "partial 16S ribosomal RNA". It matches the Rfam family "Bacterial small subunit ribosomal RNA", at positions 30 to 507 of the family's 1533-position model. The record is from RNAcentral.